AGAGUUUGAUCCUGGCUCAGGACGAACGCUGGCGGCGUGCUUAACACAUGCAAGUCGAACGAAUCAGUAGCAAUAUUGGUUAGUGGCGAACGGGUGAGUAACACGUGACUAAUCUGCCCCGGACUGGGGAAUAACGUCGGGAAACUGACGCUAAUGCCGCAUAUUGAGCGCGAGUGGCAUUACCUGCGCUUGAAAGAUUUAUCGGUCCGGGAUGAGGUCGCGCCCCAUUAGCUUGUUGGUAGGGUAAUGGCCUACCAAGGCGACGAUGGGUAGCUGGUCUGAGAGGAUGAUCAGCCACACUGGGACUGAGAUACGGCCCAGACUCCUAUGGGAGGCAGCAGUGAGGAAUAUUGCGCAAUGGGCGAAAGCCUGACGCAGCAACGCCGCGUGGAGGAUGAAGGUGGUUUCCAUUGUAAACUCCUGUAGGGAGGGACGAACAAGCGGGUUUUGCCCGCUUUGACGGUACCUCCAAAGUAAGCACCGGCUAACUCCGUGCCAGCAGCCGCGGUAAUACGGAGGGUGCAAGCGUUGUCCGGAUUUACUGGGUGUAAAGGGCGUGUAGGCGGGAAGAUGUGUCGGGAGUGAAAUCGUACGGCUUAACCGUAGCAAUUGCUUCCGAAACUGUUUUUCUUGAAUGCCGCAGAGGCAGAUGGAAUUCCAGGUGUAGCGGUGGAAUGCGUAGAUAUCUGGAAGAACAUCAGUGGCGAACGCGGUCUGCUGGGCGGUGAUUGACGCUGAGGCGCGAAAGUGUGGGGAGCAAACAGGAUUAGAUACUCUGCUAGUCCACACCAUAAACGAUGGUCACUAGUUGUCGGGGGAUUCGAUCUCUUCGGCAACGACGCUAACGCAUUAAGUGACUCACCUGGGGGAGUACGCUCGCAAGGAUGAAACUCAAAGGAGUG
RNAcentral lists this ribosomal RNA (902 nucleotides) under uncultured bacterium. RNAcentral's name for it is "bacterial SSU rRNA". It matches the Rfam family "Bacterial small subunit ribosomal RNA", at positions 8 to 911 of the family's 1533-position model. The record is from RNAcentral.